This 400-nucleotide ribosomal RNA is filed under the name uncultured bacterium. RNAcentral describes it as "bacterial SSU rRNA". It matches the Rfam family "Bacterial small subunit ribosomal RNA", at positions 355 to 747 of the family's 1533-position model. The record is from RNAcentral.
CUAAGAAUCUUCCACAAUGGACGAAAGUCUGAUGGAGCGACGCCGCGUGGGUGAUGAAGGCGGUAACGUUGUAAAGCCCUUUUAUAGGCGAGGAAUAAGAUCAGGAGGGAAUGCCUGGUCGAUGACGGUAGCUUAUGAAUAAGCCCCGGCUAAUUACGUGCCAGCAGCCGCGGUAACACGUAUGGGGCGAGCGUUGUUCGGAAUUAUUGGGCGUAAAGGGUGCGCAGGCGGUUAUACAAGUCUGGUGUUAAAUCCCGCAGCUUAACUGCGGACGGGCAUUGGAAACUGUAUGACUAGAGUUUUUGAGGGGUAGCUGGAAUUCCAGGUGUAGGGGUGAAAUCUGUAGAUAUCUGGAAGAACAUCAAUGGCGAAGGCAAGCUACUGGCAAUAAACUGACGCU